Molecule: ribosomal RNA, 354 nt
Filed under: uncultured bacterium
Lineage: Bacteria
Description: partial 16S ribosomal RNA
Rfam family: Bacterial small subunit ribosomal RNA
Source: RNAcentral
CCUACGGGGGGCAGCAGUGGGGGAUAUUGCACAAUGGGGGAAACCCUGAUGCAGCGACGCCGCGUGAGGGAAGAAGGUUUUCGGUAUGUAAAGCCCUAUUAGUAGGGAAGAAAAUGACGGUAUCUGACCAAGAAGCCCCGGCUAACUCCGUGCCAGCAGCCGCGGUAAUACGGAGGGGGCAAGCGUUAUCCGGAUUUACUGGGCGUAAAGGGAGCGUAGGCGGGGUUGUAAGUCAGAUGUGAAAGCCUGUAGCGUAACCCCGGGACUGCAUUUGAAACUGUGUCUCUGGAGUAUAGGAGGGGUAGGCGGAAUUCCUGGUGUAGCGGUGAAAUGCGUAGAUAUCAAGAGGAAUAC